RNAcentral lists this ribosomal RNA (252 nucleotides) under uncultured bacterium. RNAcentral's name for it is "partial small subunit ribosomal RNA". It matches the Rfam family "Bacterial small subunit ribosomal RNA", at positions 26 to 278 of the family's 1533-position model. The record is from RNAcentral.
AGGACGAACGCUGGCGGCGUGCUUAACACAUGCAAGUCGAGCGGUAAGGCCUCCUUCGGGGGUACACGAGCGGCGAACGGGUGAGUAACACGUGGGUGACCUGCCCUCAGCUCUGGGAUAAGCCUGGGAAACUGGGUCUAAUACUGGAUAUUCACUUCUCAUCGCAUGGUGGGUGGUGGAAAGUUUUUUCGGCUGGGGAUGGGCCCGCGGCCUAUCAGCUUGUUGGUGGGGUGAUGGCCUACCAAGGCGACG